RNAcentral lists this long non-coding RNA (1759 nucleotides) under Parus major (Great Tit). RNAcentral describes it as "lncRNA (ENSPMJG00000006316.1)". Lineage: Eukaryota; Metazoa; Chordata; Aves; Passeriformes; Paridae. The record is from RNAcentral.
UGGCUCAUGUAGUUAAUCACAGAGAUUUAAGACAAAAGUACUUCCCUGACAAGUAUUUGGAUGAGUGGGAAAUAACCACAAAUGGGAGCAGAGCCUUGCAGACUUUGUCCUGCUGGACUGAGCAGUGCUGUAAUUCCUUUCUUUCCAAAUCCAGGGCUGUCAAAUUCCAUUGGAAUUGUCCUGAACAACAAAGUCAGCAUCUUUCUGGUCUGAAGCCAGACUGCAAAGCGAGGGGGCAGAGAGGGAAAAGUUGUCUCUGGGACAAGUGGUACCUCCUGCUGGUGACCAUUUCUUGCUGAUACUGGAAUAAUCAGGCAGAAGUGAAGGAGCACAUGGAGGCAUGUAAAAAACCCACAAGGAUCUAGAAAGGAGAUGGAUUAUCCAGCACUAGAGAAUUCCUCUCUGUCCAUGCUAUUUGUGUUUCUUCCCCAACUUUGACAGGUUGAAUGGCUCCUUCUUUUUGUCUGGGAAAUGAGCAGCUUCUAUUGUCCUUACAGAGAUUUCCAGCAGGAAACUAGAACUGCCAAAAUUGUUGAUGGCUCUGGUAGAAGCACAGCAGCAAAACCUGUUCUGCCUCAGAGGUCUCAGUGGGGUACAAGACCCAGCUAAACACAGCAAGAUGUCUCACCAACCAACCUCAGGUUCCACAGGCUUCCAAGCACAGCAUCAGCCACGUCACUUGUCCUGCGUGUCACAGACCAGAGGAACUCUUCUGUUUGCAAUUCUCAUGAGGGCUUGUGCCUAUUUUCAUAUUUCUCCUUUCCAACCUGUGUGUGCAAGUAUCAGGCUUAUCUUUUCUUUGUCAGAGGAUCAGGAAUGACGCAGGGAUGAAGAGCUGCAUGCAGCAUUUUCAGGAGACCAAGGGAUUUCAGUGCUUUUUUAAUCAGACUGGGAUUUUUUCAGCCUUUAGCUAAAGUGUUACCGAUUUCCUACACGUUUAAAAUUCUAGAUCUCUUGUUAAUUUAGGUUUUGGAGUUGUUUUCUUUUUUUUUUAAAUCCUAAAUAUGCUUUUUAUAUUAAGAAUUACAAAGACUGAUCAACUAAGCUCACUUACAGUAUACCAGUUAAAAUUUGAAAAAUAUACCUGGAUUUGUUCAGCAGACUCAUGUUCUGCCUAAAUCACAGGUCAAUAAUAACCUUUCAUGAAAAAUAGGACCAAUACUUGCAAACUUGUUUACUCAGCCAUGGCUUAAAAAAGUGAACUCAAGUGACCUGGGUUUAAAGUCAACUCACCUGAAAAAUCAAGCAUCUGAAAAAUAAGUGACAUAUCUCCCAGAUGAAGCAAUUACCUAACUAGUGACAGUAAAGCAAUGAGCAUCUCCUCCAGUUGCUGUUAAACACCAAAGAAGGUGUUAUUGUGUAUAUCUGGCAGCUCUAGGUGACUUGAGAGAUGUAUUUAUGAUAAAAGAUAACAGCUAAUAACAGAAGCCAUUCCACACAGGACAGACUAGGAGCUAAAAAAUAUUUCAGAAGCAUCACAGUGAUUUUGUGAUCAUAAAAGUAGCAUUUUUGUUAAUGCCACCAAGCCUUCAAUACAAUGCCAUGUUCCUUCUGUCUGCUUCAAGUUUUUUUCCUUUUGCAUUUACAAAAUCAAAAGGGUUUACAAGAUGAAUGUGAGUUAUCCUCCACCUCUUUCAAUGACUUAAUAACAAACAACUUUAAUACAGCCAGUGCUGAACUGGAGUUCAAGAACCAUUUCUUGGAAAUCUGAAAUACACUGAAACCUUAACAAAGAAAAUGGUAUUCUAUUAAAUCUGCA